RNAcentral lists this microRNA (22 nucleotides) under Heligmosomoides polygyrus. Its description in RNAcentral is "hpo-miR-10049-3p". Lineage: Eukaryota; Metazoa; Nematoda; Chromadorea; Rhabditida; Heligmosomidae. The record is from miRBase by way of RNAcentral.
UUGUCCCUGUACUACGAUCAUC